RNAcentral lists this long non-coding RNA (467 nucleotides) under Fragaria vesca (wild strawberry). RNAcentral describes it as "long non-coding RNA (FVES_LNC002321)". Lineage: Eukaryota; Viridiplantae; Streptophyta; Magnoliopsida; Rosales; Rosaceae. The record is from RNAcentral.
GUGGCCGAGAUCCGCCUACCCAAGAACCGUACCCGCCUCUGGCUUGGAACUUUCGACACAGCUGAAGAAGCAGCCUUGGCUUACGACAAAGCAGCUUACAAGCUCCGUGGUGACUUUGCCCGCCUCAAUUUUCCACAUUUGAAGCACACUGGGUCCGUCGUUGGUGGAGAGUUCGGCGAGUACAAGCCUCUGCAUUCCUCUGUUGACGCGAAGCUUCAGGCCAUUUGCGAAGGCUUGGCUGAGUCGCAGAAACAGGGGAAGGCAGGGAAGCAGGCGGGUGGGGCCAAGAAAUCUUCGGCCGCCCGCACGAAGCCGAAAUCAACACCAGUGCCGGAACCGGAACCAGAACCGGAGGCUUUGACCGUGAAGGAGGAGACCUCCUCCUUGUCGCCGGUGAGGACGGAUAGUGAUGGGUCUGCAGGGUCUUCUCCUCUAUCGGAUCUGACCUUUGCCGACUACUCAGAGUC